UAAUUAUAUACAUCAUAUUUUAAUUAUGAAAUAAUGAAUAUGAUCUCAUCAUAUAGCAUCAUAGUGAACACAAUUCAAUAUUACAUAGCAACAUUUCAAAAUUAUAUGCAUCAUGAUUUAAUUAUGAAAUAAUGAAUAUGAUAUCAUCAUAUUAAUAUCAUAUUAAAAUAUAAAUAAUGAUCAUAUCAUAUUUAUAAUAUUACCUUUAAAUCAUUAACAUAUCAUCAUAUGAUUUAAUUCUAACAAGGUGGCUCUAAUACCACUGAAAGGUUUUAAU
This 277-nucleotide long non-coding RNA is filed under the name Elaeis guineensis (African oil palm). RNAcentral describes it as "long non-coding RNA (EGUI_LNC076307)". Lineage: Eukaryota; Viridiplantae; Streptophyta; Magnoliopsida; Arecales; Arecaceae. The record is from RNAcentral.